UGUAGGAGCGAGCUUGCUCGCGAUGGCGUGUCAGGCUAAGUGGUGUCGACUGACACACCAUCGCGAGCAAGCUCGCUCCUACA
RNAcentral lists this unclassified non-coding RNA (83 nucleotides) under Pseudomonas jessenii. Lineage: Bacteria; Pseudomonadati; Pseudomonadota; Gammaproteobacteria; Pseudomonadales; Pseudomonadaceae. The record is from RNAcentral.